Long non-coding RNA from Neopsephotus bourkii (Bourke's parrot), 571 nucleotides. RefSeq lists it as uncharacterized. The record is from RefSeq and is a predicted model, not a curated record. NCBI's taxonomy places the organism in Eukaryota, Metazoa, Chordata, Aves, Psittaciformes, Psittacidae. The transcript has 3 exons.
AGGCUCCUCAAUUCAGAGCACUCCAUGAUUUUGAGCAAAGAAAACUACCUCAGCCUUGUGAAGUGUCUUGAAAUUCCAUUCAGUUCUUACCAAAUGUUAACAAUGAACAUUUACUGUUUCUUACCUGCAUUCCUUACUGUAAUUUUUGGUAAAAGGCCAGAAUACAAAAUCCACUAAAGAUUGAAUUCAUAUUUCAGAGUACACAAUGGAACAAAAGCAGCAGAGAAAAAAAGGAAAGAGCUUCUGAUGAAAAAAUCCCACCCUGCUUGGACACUACAAGGAGCAGAAACCAGACCAAGCUUUUUCUUCAUACUCUUCCUUGCCAGAUUCGGAAUACAUCAGAUAAGAAAACUAAGACACAGGGAUGUGCUGCUACAUGCCUGAGAUCAGACCGAAGGCUGGUAGCUAAGGUAACCAAGCUCCUGAUCCUCUUUGCCAUUAAUAAUCUGAGUAAGCCUGACUCCAACGAAUCUGCUCACGUACUCCUUCAGUAACAUGUACAAAAGGCAAAAAAGCACAGCAACUCAAAACUGGUAUCAGUUCUUAUUUAUCACUAUUUUUCAUCAUUUGC